Molecule: ribosomal RNA, 501 nt
Filed under: uncultured bacterium
Lineage: Bacteria
Description: partial 16S ribosomal RNA
Rfam family: Bacterial small subunit ribosomal RNA
Source: RNAcentral
AUUGAACGCUGGCGGCACGCCUAACACAUGCAAGUCGAGCGGUAACAUGAUCUGUAGCAAUACAGAUUGAUGACGAGCGGCGGACGGGUGAGUAACACGUAGGAACCUGCCCAGGAGCGGGGGAUAACCAAUGGAAACGUUGGCUAAUACCGCAUAUAUUCGAGAGAAGAAAGCUGCCGCAAGGUGGCACGCUUGGAGGGGCCUGCGUCCGAGUAGCUAGUUGGUGAGGUAAUGGCUCACAAAGGCGAUGAUCGGUAACUGGUCUGAGAGGACGACCAGUCACACUGGGACUGAGACACGGCCCAGACUCCUACGGGAGGCAGCAGUGGGGAAUCUUGGACAAUGGGGGCAACCCUGAUCCAGCGAUGCCGCGUGAGUGAAGAAGGCCCUCGGGUCGUAAAGCUCUUUAGGCUGGGAAGAAGGUUAUGGUAGGAAAUGACUGUAAUUUGACUGUACCAGCAGAAUAAGCACCGGCAAACUCUGUGCCAGCCGCCGCAGUAA